UGUAUUUGAUGAAGAAAAUAAAAGUGGAAUUUUUUUUGUUUGAUUGAAGCAGACACUGAAGUUUCCAAAUUACAUGUGAGAAAAUAGAAGACAAAAAAUUGCCCCUCAAUCUACAGAAUAAAAAUUCAAGGCUAUGAUGAAACCAUUCUGAUGAGGUCUGCAUCCCUAGGAAUGACCUCAUCUAAUGAAUUGGACAAGGAUAUGGAUUUUAGGAGAAGAGGGUUCUGCCCAGAGUGGAAGCAACUUGAGGCAAGUAUAGGUCUCAUUCUUCUUUAUAUCACCUACAGCUAGCAAAUGCAUUUCAUGGGUGCCUAAAAAUUUGUUGAUUAUUUGUAGGUUAUCAAUAUCUGGGAAGUAAUGAUGGAGUAUUGCUUCGAUGCUUUGUGAUUCUUGACCAAUUCUCAACUGGAUGAUUUUUAAGCCCUUUGGCUUAAAUUAAAUUUGGACAUCAAUACAAGGGCUAAGAAAUGGAUUACAGGUACAAUGCAACUCCAGUUUUAACCAGAUUAAUGCAUUAUUAGUACCUGAAUUGCUACGUCUUUCCACUG
RNAcentral lists this long non-coding RNA (548 nucleotides) under Phascolarctos cinereus (koala). RNAcentral describes it as "lncRNA (ENSPCIG00000032680.1)". Lineage: Eukaryota; Metazoa; Chordata; Mammalia; Diprotodontia; Phascolarctidae. The record is from RNAcentral.